Molecule: ribosomal RNA, 391 nt
Filed under: uncultured bacterium
Lineage: Bacteria
Description: bacterial SSU rRNA
Rfam family: Bacterial small subunit ribosomal RNA
Source: RNAcentral
GACGAACGCUGGCGGCGUGCCUAACACAUGCAAGUCGAGCGAAUGAAGUUUCUUCGGGAACAGAUUUAGCGGCGGACGGGUGAGUAACACGUGGGCAACCUGCCUCAUAGAGGGGGAAUAGCCUUCCGAAAGGGAGAUUAAUACCGCAUAAGAUUGUAGUACCGCAUGGUACAGCAAUUAAAGGAGCAAUCCGCUAUGAGAUGGGCCCGCGGCGCAUUAGCUAGUUGGUGAGGUAACGGCUCACCAAGGCGACGAUGCGUAGCCGACCUGAGAGGGUGAUCGGCCACAUUGGGACUGAGACACGGCCCAGACUCCUACGGGAGGCAGCAGUGGGGAAUAUUGCACAAUGGGGGAAACCCUGAUGCAGCAACGCCGCGUGAGUGAUGACGGC